CCCACUUGCAUUCUCCUCUCCCCAGUUUAGCACCCGUUCAAAUAAGGUUGAAAGGCCCUCAACAAUGCUUCAGAACAAGCUUUCUGCCACAUCAUUGUGAUCAAGAGAUUCGUGUGAUGAGGAAAUGUUUGUAUCCCUGAAGGAAGACCUUGGCAUCCCAUUUCUGUGGUAGGAUAGUGGCAUACCUGCUCUGCAGCCAACAAAUUCAAAA
RNAcentral lists this long non-coding RNA (211 nucleotides) under Macaca nemestrina (pig-tailed macaque). Its description in RNAcentral is "lncRNA (ENSMNEG00000045956.1)". The record is from RNAcentral. Lineage: Eukaryota; Metazoa; Chordata; Mammalia; Primates; Cercopithecidae.